AUGGAUUGGUGCCUUCGGAAUCUCUGACACAGGUGCUGCAUGGCUGUCGUCACCUCGUGUCGUGAGAUGUUGGGUUAAGUCCCGUAACGAGCGCAACCCUUGUCCUUAGUUUACCAUCACGUUAUGGUGGGCACUCUAAGGAGACUGCAGUGCCUAAACCGGAGGAAGGUGGGGAUGACAUCAAGUCAUCAUGGCCCUUACGGCCUGGGCUACACUCCUGUUACAAUGCAAUGGUACAAAGGGUUGCCAAGCCGCGAGGGGGAGAUAA
Molecule: ribosomal RNA, 268 nt
Filed under: uncultured Pseudomonas sp.
Lineage: Bacteria; Pseudomonadati; Pseudomonadota; Gammaproteobacteria; Pseudomonadales; Pseudomonadaceae
Description: partial 16S ribosomal RNA
Rfam family: Bacterial small subunit ribosomal RNA
Source: RNAcentral